RNAcentral lists this ribosomal RNA (1715 nucleotides) under Salmonella enterica subsp. diarizonae. RNAcentral's name for it is "partial 23S ribosomal RNA". It matches the Rfam family "Bacterial large subunit ribosomal RNA", at positions 1102 to 2800 of the family's 2925-position model. The record is from RNAcentral. Lineage: Bacteria; Pseudomonadati; Pseudomonadota; Gammaproteobacteria; Enterobacterales; Enterobacteriaceae.
UGGCUUAGAAGCAGCCAUCAUUUAAAGAAAGCGUAAUAGCUCACUGGUCGAGUCGGCCUGCGCGGAAGAUGUAACGGGGCUAAACCAUGCACCGAAGCUGCGGCAGCGACACUGUGUGUUGUUGGGUAGGGGAGCGUUCUGUAAGCCGUUGAAGGUGUCCUGUGAGGGGUGCUGGAGGUAUCAGAAGUGCGAAUGCUGACAUAAGUAACGAUAAAGCGGGUGAAAAGCCCGCUCGCCGGAAGACCAAGGGUUCCUGUCCAACGUUAAUCGGGGCAGGGUGAGUCGACCCCUAAGGCGAGGCCGAAAGGCGUAGUCGAUGGGAAACGGGUUAAUAUUCCCGUACUUGGUGUUACUGCGAAGGGGGGACGGAGAAGGCUAUGUUGGCCGGGCGACGGUUGUCCCGGUUUAAGCGUGUAGGUGUGUGUUCCAGGUAAAUCCGGUUCACUUUAACACUGAGGCGUGAUGACGAGGCACCACGGUGCUGAAGCAACAAAUGCCCUGCUUCCAGGAAAAGCCUCUAAGCAUCAGGUAACAUCAAAUCGUACCCCAAACCGACACAGGUGGUCAGGUAGAGAAUACCAAGGCGCUUGAGAGAACUCGGGUGAAGGAACUAGGCAAAAUGGUGCCGUAACUUCGGGAGAAGGCACGCUGACACGUAGGUGAAGUGAUUUACUCAUGGAGCUGAAGUCAGUCGAAGAUACCAGCUGGCUGCAACUGUUUAUUAAAAACACAGCACUGUGCAAACACGAAAGUGGACGUAUACGGUGUGACGCCUGCCCGGUGCCGGAAGGUUAAUUGAUGGGGUCAGCGCAAGCGAAGCUCCUGAUCGAAGCCCCGGUAAACGGCGGCCGUAACUAUAACGGUCCUAAGGUAGCGAAAUUCCUUGUCGGGUAAGUUCCGACCUGCACGAAUGGCGUAAUGAUGGCCAGGCUGUCUCCACCCGAGACUCAGUGAAAUUGAACUCGCUGUGAAGAUGCAGUGUACCCGCGGCAAGACGGAAAGACCCCGUGAACCUUUACUAUAGCUUGACACUGAACAUUGAGCCUUGAUGUGUAGGAUAGGUGGGAGGCUUUGAAGCGUGGACGCCAGUCUGCGUGGAGCCGACCUUGAAAUACCACCCUUUAAUGUUUGAUGUUCUAACGUGGACCCGUAAUCCGGGUUGCGGACAGUGUCUGGUGGGUAGUUUGACUGGGGCGGUCUCCUCCUAAAGAGUAACGGAGGAGCACGAAGGUUGGCUAAUCCUGGUCGGACAUCAGGAGGUUAGUGCAAUGGCAUAAGCCAGCUUGACUGCGAGCGUGACGGCGCGAGCAGGUGCGAAAGCAGGUCAUAGUGAUCCGGUGGUUCUGAAUGGAAGGGCCAUCGCUCAACGGAUAAAAGGUACUCCGGGGAUAACAGGCUGAUACCGCCCAAGAGUUCAUAUCGACGGCGGUGUUUGGCACCUCGAUGUCGGCUCAUCACAUCCUGGGGCUGAAGUAGGUCCCAAGGGUAUGGCUGUUCGCCAUUUAAAGUGGUACGCGAGCUGGGUUUAGAACGUCGUGAGACAGUUCGGUCCCUAUCUGCCGUGGGCGCUGGAAGACUGAGGGGGGCUGCUCCUAGUACGAGAGGACCGGAGUGGACGCAUCACUGGUGUUCGGGUUGUCAUGCCAAUGGCACUGCCCGGUAGCUAAAUGCGGAAAAGAUAAGUGCUGAAAGCAUCUAAGCACGAAACUUGCCCC